Molecule: ribosomal RNA, 442 nt
Filed under: uncultured bacterium
Lineage: Bacteria
Description: partial 16S ribosomal RNA
Rfam family: Bacterial small subunit ribosomal RNA
Source: RNAcentral
CCUACGGGUGGCAGCAGUGGGGAAUAUUGGGCAAUGGGCGCAAGCCUGACCCAGCAACGCCGCGUGAAGGAAGAAGGCCCUCGGGUUGUAAACUUCUUUUGUCAGGGACGAAGAAAGUGACGGUACCUGACGAAUAAGCCACGGCUAACUACGUGCCAGCAGCCGCGGUAAUACGUAGGUGGCAGCGUUAUCCGGAUUUACUGGGUGUAAAGGGCGUGUAGGCGGGACUGCAAGUCAGAUGUGAAAUUCCAGGGCUCAACCCUGGAACUGCAUUUGAAACUGUAGUUCUUGAGUUGGAGAGAAGUAUGCGGAAUGCGCGGUGUAGCGGUGAAAUGCAUAGAUAUCGCGCAGAACUCCGAUUGCGAAGGCAGCAUGCCGGCUCCACACUGACGCUGAGGCACGAAAGCGUGGGUAUCAAACAGGAUUAGAUACCCGGGUAGUC